Molecule: ribosomal RNA, 254 nt
Filed under: uncultured bacterium
Lineage: Bacteria
Also listed under: 1 other name
Description: partial 16S ribosomal RNA
Rfam family: Bacterial small subunit ribosomal RNA
Source: RNAcentral
CACGUAGGGACCAAGCGUUGUCCGGAUUCAUUGGGCGUAAAGAGCUCGUAGGCGGUUCGGUAAGUCGGGUGUGAAACCUCCAGGCUCAACCUGGAGACGCCACCCGAUACUGCCGUGACUAGAGUCCAGUAGGGGAGCGUGGAAUUCCUGGUGUAGCGGUGAAAUGCGCAGAUAUCAGGAGGAACACCAGCGGCGAAGGCGGCGCUCUGGGCUGGAACUGACGCUGAGGAGCGAAAGCGUGGGGAGCGAACAGG